AGCAGCCGCGGUAAUUCCAGCUCCAAUAGCGUAUAUUAAAGUUGUUGCAGUUAAGAAGCCCGUAGUUGAACUUCGGGGUUUACCCAUUGGUCAGGCUUAAUUGUCUGCACUGGUGAGAUGGAUCUCUACCUUCUGAGGAACUUUCAUGCCAUUUAUUUGGUGUGAUGGGAAAUCAGGACUGUUACUUUGAAAAAUUAGAGUGUUUAAAGCAGACUAUCGUCUGAAUACAUUAGCAUGGAAUAAUGAAAUAGGACGGACUGAUUCUAUUUCGUUGGUUUCUAGGAUCACCGUAAUGAUUAAUAGGGAUAGUUGGGGGCAUUAGUAUUCAAUUGUCAGAGGUGAAAUUCUUGGAUUUAUUGAAGACUAACUACUGCGAAAGCAUUUGCCAAGGAUGUUUUCAUUAAUCAAGAACGAAAGUUAGGGGAUCGAAGACGAUCAGAUACCGUCGUAGUCUUAACCAUAAACUAUGCCGACUAGGGAUCGGAUGAUGUUAAUUUUUUAAUGACUCU
This 509-nucleotide ribosomal RNA is filed under the name uncultured Diversisporaceae. Its description in RNAcentral is "SSU rRNA". It matches the Rfam family "Eukaryotic small subunit ribosomal RNA", at positions 569 to 1078 of the family's 1831-position model. The record is from RNAcentral. Lineage: Eukaryota; Fungi; Glomeromycota; Glomeromycetes; Diversisporales.